RNAcentral lists this long non-coding RNA (204 nucleotides) under Elaeis guineensis (African oil palm). RNAcentral describes it as "long non-coding RNA (EGUI_LNC007107)". The record is from RNAcentral. Lineage: Eukaryota; Viridiplantae; Streptophyta; Magnoliopsida; Arecales; Arecaceae.
UCGCUUUCAUCGUUUUUCUCUUAUUUUGAGUCUUUGGUGAUACUUUUCUUGUGAAAAAAAGCACUAUCAAAAUGGACAAGGUCACUUCUACACUUCUCCAGAAUGAGGUUCUUAGACGGAAGAACCAAGCUUCAAGUUUAGAUGGCGACUCUGCUAUGGUGGUGACUGAAGAAGGUGGUGGCAGAGGACAAAGGGGUAGAGAAU